CGAAGCUGGAAUCGCUAGUAAUCGCGGAUCAGAAUGCCGCGGUGAAUACGUUCCCGGGUCUUGUACACACCGCCCCGUCACACCAUGGGAGUCAGCAACGCCCGAAGUCAGUGACCCAACCUUUGAGGAGGGAGCUGCCGAAGGCGGGGCAGGUGACUGGGGUGAAGUCGUAACAAGGUACC
RNAcentral lists this ribosomal RNA (182 nucleotides) under uncultured bacterium. Its description in RNAcentral is "partial 16S ribosomal RNA". It matches the Rfam family "Bacterial small subunit ribosomal RNA", at positions 1321 to 1500 of the family's 1533-position model. The record is from RNAcentral.